AGUGAACGCUGGCGGUAGGCCUAACACAUGCAAGUCGAACGGCAGCACAGUAAGAGCUUGCUCUUACGGGUGGCGAGUGGCGGACGGGUGAGGAAUACAUCGGAAUCUACUUUUUCGUGGGGGAUAACGUAGGGAAACUUACGCUAAUACCGCAUACGACCUACGGGUGAAAGCAGGGGAUCUUCGGACCUUGCGCGAUUGAAUGAGCCGAUGUCGGAUUAGCUAGUUGGCGGGGUAAAGGCCCACCAAGGCGACGAUCCGUAGCUGGUCUGAGAGGAUGAUCGGCCACACUGGAACUGAGACACGGUCCUGACUCCUACGGGAGGCAGCAGUGGGGAAUGUUGGGCAAUGGGGGCAAGCCUGAUCCAGCCAUACCGCGUGGGUGAAGGAGGCCUUCGGGUUGUAAAGCCCUUUUGUUGGGAAAGAAAAGCAGCAGGUUAAUACCCCGCUGUUCUGACGGUACCCAAAGAAUAAGCACCGGCUAACUUCGUG
This 492-nucleotide ribosomal RNA is filed under the name uncultured bacterium. Its description in RNAcentral is "partial 16S ribosomal RNA". It matches the Rfam family "Bacterial small subunit ribosomal RNA", at positions 29 to 507 of the family's 1533-position model. The record is from RNAcentral.